GACGAAACGUGCGAACGUUGUUCGGAUUCACUGGGCUUAAAGGGCGCGUAGGCGGGCGAGCGAGUCCGGGGUGAAAUCUUUCGGCUUAACCGGAAAAGGGCCUCGGAUACCGGUCGUCUCGAGGGAGGUAGGGGCAGCUGGAACUUCCGGUGGAGCGGUGAAAUGCGUUGAUAUCGGAAGGAACGCCGGUGGCGAAAGCGAGCUGCUGGACCUCAUCUGACGCUGAGGCGCGAAAGCCAGGGGAGCGAACGGG
This 253-nucleotide ribosomal RNA is filed under the name uncultured bacterium. RNAcentral's name for it is "partial 16S ribosomal RNA". It matches the Rfam family "Bacterial small subunit ribosomal RNA", at positions 524 to 776 of the family's 1533-position model. The record is from RNAcentral.